This is a long non-coding RNA of Tachysurus vachellii, 566 nucleotides long. RefSeq lists it as uncharacterized. The transcript has 3 exons. The record is from RefSeq and is a predicted model, not a curated record. Lineage: Eukaryota; Metazoa; Chordata; Actinopteri; Siluriformes; Bagridae.
AUCAGAUAUCAGGCGUAAAAUCUCAACCUAAAUGCAGAUUUCUUAACAAACUAAAUCACUGAAGUUAGUCGGCUUUGUCGCCUCGUUCAGUUCGAUCGCAUGCCACUGAUUCCGACUCUCUGCAGAGGAAGAAGAAAACCAAAGCCCACAGAGAAACAGCUGAGGAACUGUUAGAUCCCAUCACUCACACACAGUUGUCAGGUUUGAUUGAUGCUGGAAAAUGGUUGCAGGGGGACGCUGUCACGAUGACGAGAUGAAUUUUCCAUGGACCUCAGGCAUGUCAGAACAUCGUCUUCUGGUUCUAGAGAAAAGUUGGUGACACGUCCUGGAGGUGCUUCACAAACUGAGCAGGCAAGAGGAAGCCUGUCGCUGCAUUCCACACACCCAGAUCAAUCCAGCAACCCGGGAAACAAUGUUUUUCCUCUGAAACAUUAACCUUCAGAUGAUUCCUAUCAGGAUCAUCUGGAUUACUGCAAACAUCACAUAGGACAGCACCAGAGAACAACAAAACGAACAGCAGAUCCAUCUGUAGACUUUAAAGGAGUCUGUAAACACAUCUGUAAACA